AUGUGCGUUCCGAAAGAAAGAGGUGGGAUGGGUUUCCGUGAUAUACACAACUUUAAUUUGGUGCUACUGGCCAAGCAGUGUUGGAGACUCAUUGAGCAUCAUGGCUCGCUAUGUGCAAGGUUGCGUGCGAAAUAUUAUCCUAGUUGUGAAUUGAUUAACUGCAGUUUGAAGAAAGGUUCUUCUUAUGUGUGGCAGAGCAUUUGGGCGGGAGUCCGGACUUUCAAGAAAGGAGGCAUUUGUAGGGUGGGAAAUGGCCUUAAAAUAAAUAUAUGGGAGGACUGCUGGGUGCCGAACAGCUCCUCCAGGAAAAUUGUCACUUCACGCGGGAAUAGAGUGUUUACCCGGGUUAAUGAACUUAUUGAUCCAGUAUCCGGAGGGCGGGUUGAGAAUCUCAUCAGAGAAUUUUUUUGGCCCAUCGAUGUUGAUCGCAUAUUGCAAAUUCUAUUGCAUCAGGAUGAUACUGAGGACUACGUGGCGUGGCACCUAACGAAGACGGGAGUAUUCAGUGUACGUUCUGCCUAUUAUAAACAGUGGGAAGAUUCAUAUGCCAGUACUGAGCCGAGCUCUCUCUCGAGUGGUUCUGCGCCACACCCGAUAUGGAAGAAAUUGUGGAGUCUCAAGGUGCCAAACAAAGUGAAAAUCUUCAUUUGGCGAUCAUUACAUAAUGCUAUUCCUUGCUUUGGUGUACUUGCUGAUCGACACAUUUCUACGUCGGCGCAAUGUCCGGUCUGCAAACAGCACGCGGAGGACGUGGCGCAUGCGCUUUCCUGA
This 771-nucleotide ribosomal RNA is filed under the name Triticum aestivum (bread wheat). RNAcentral describes it as "partial small subunit ribosomal RNA". Lineage: Eukaryota; Viridiplantae; Streptophyta; Magnoliopsida; Poales; Poaceae. The record is from RNAcentral.